GACGAACGCUGGCGGCGUGCUUAACACAUGCAAGUCGAACGAGUGGCGAACGGGUGAGUAAGAAGUGGGUGAUAUGCCUUCCACUCUGGGAUAAGCUCGGGUAACUGGGGUUAAUCACAGAUAGUGCAAGAUGAGCUCGCGGACUAUCAGCUUGUUGGUGGGGUAAAGGCUACAAAGGCGCGACGGGUAGCCGGCCUGAGAGGGUGUACGGCCACAUUGGGACUGAGAUACGGCCCAGACUCCGACGGGAGGCAGCAGUGGGGAAUUUUGGACAAUGGGGGAAACCCUGAUCCAGCCAUCCCGCGUGUGCGAGGAAGGCCUUCGGGUUGUAAAGCACGUUUGGCAGGGAAACGGUACCUGCAGAAUAAGCACCGGCUAACUACGUGCCAGCAGCCGCGGUAAUAC
RNAcentral lists this ribosomal RNA (405 nucleotides) under uncultured bacterium. RNAcentral describes it as "partial 16S ribosomal RNA". It matches the Rfam family "Bacterial small subunit ribosomal RNA", at positions 28 to 526 of the family's 1533-position model. The record is from RNAcentral.